This is a long non-coding RNA of Oreochromis aureus, 817 nucleotides long. The record is from Ensembl. NCBI's taxonomy places the organism in Eukaryota, Metazoa, Chordata, Actinopteri, Cichliformes, Cichlidae.
GGGUUCCUACCUUCUGGUUCUCCACACCUGCUGGUAAUCACACACUUCUCUGGAAGUGUCUGAGCGUCAGUCUUUACUAGUUAUUUGAUUUGUAGCAGCUAAUGUAACCCAGCUCCUUGUCUUGCUGAUCCGCAUAAGAAUGGAUUUGAGAAAUUGGAUCUCUCGACACGGAAUCCUGUUUCCUCGGGGGAGUAAGUGAUCCACAAAAUCCCAGCGCAUCGAGAGAUAAACAGACAGAGAGGAAAAAAGGAAACCAAGAGUGUGGUGCAGGGGGAAAGGAAGGAGUGUGACAUAGGAGUGCAUUUAAGCUCCAGUGCCUCCCAUCCUGUGCGUGUGACCGUGGUGGAUCUGAAAACCUCAGCUUCGCCCCACAGCAACAGAAAGGAGAGGAAUGUUCUUGGGGAGACUAAAUUUAGACUCAAUGUCCUGUACCAUCAAUCCCGAUUAAGCUAACUGCGGAACUGCACUCGUUGUGGGAAGAAUAUGGCUCAGUGUUGAAUCCAGGUUACAUAAGUGUUUGGACCUCCAUGGCUUGGAAAUGAAGGAACUUUAUGUUUCUGAGAGCACUGUGUUAUGGCUUUCUACUCAACUAUGCACUCCUUCAUCAGUAUUUGUGUGCCAUGUCUAAAUAAGUUCAGUUAAAUAAAAAAAAAAAAGAUUACACUUUACAACAUGGUCUACAAUUAAAGGUGUAAUUCCCCUGUAACUAAAUAUAAUUUCACUGUAUUUUAUUUGAAAUCACAAUGUAAUUAUAUUUGCCUACAAAGGUUAUUACACUUGAACAAGGGGGCAACAAGUCAGAUUUUAACAAAUAAAU